UCAUAUCGACGGCGGUGUUUGGCACCUCGAUGUCGGCUCAUCACAUCCUGGGGCUGAAGUAGGUCCCAAGGGUAUGGCUGUUCGCCAUUUAAAGUGGUACGCGAGCUGGGGUUAGAACGUCGUGAGACAGUUCGGUCCCUAUCUGCCGUGGGCGCUGGAGAACUGAGGGGGGCUGCUCCUAGUACGAGAGGACCGGAGUGGACGCAUCACUGGUGUUCGGG
This 221-nucleotide ribosomal RNA is filed under the name Shigella flexneri. Its description in RNAcentral is "partial 23S ribosomal RNA". It matches the Rfam family "Bacterial large subunit ribosomal RNA", at positions 2500 to 2720 of the family's 2925-position model. The record is from RNAcentral. Lineage: Bacteria; Pseudomonadati; Pseudomonadota; Gammaproteobacteria; Enterobacterales; Enterobacteriaceae.